GAUGAAGAACGCAGCGAAAUGCGAUAAGUAAUGUGAAUUGCAGAAUUCAGUGAAUCAUCGAAUCUUUGAACGCACAUUGUGCCCCUUGGUAUUCCGAGGGGCAUGCCUGUUCGAGCGUCAUUAUAACCCCUCAAGCUCAGCUUGGUGUUGGGGCCUGCUGCACUGGCAGCCCUUAAAAUCAGUGGCGGCGCCAUCUGGCUCUAAGCGUAGUAAUUCUUCUCGCUAUGGAGUCCUGGUGGAUGCUUGCCAUCAACCCCCAAUUUUUCUAUGGUUGACCUCGGAUCAGGUAGGGAUACCCGCUGAACUUAAGCAUAUCAAUAAGCGGAGGA
RNAcentral lists this unclassified non-coding RNA (329 nucleotides) under soil metagenome. Its description in RNAcentral is "partial contains 5.8S ribosomal RNA, internal transcribed spacer 2, and large subunit ribosomal RNA". The stretch from base 1 to 120 matches the Rfam family "5.8S ribosomal RNA", at positions 35 to 154 of the family's 154-position model. The record is from RNAcentral.